Molecule: ribosomal RNA, 460 nt
Filed under: uncultured bacterium
Lineage: Bacteria
Description: partial 16S ribosomal RNA
Rfam family: Bacterial small subunit ribosomal RNA
Source: RNAcentral
CCUACGAGAGGCAGCAGUGAGGAAUAUUGGUCAAUGGGCGCGAGCCUGAACCAGCCAAGUCGCGUGAAGGAUGACUGCCCUCCGGGUUGUAAACUUUGUUUAUAAAGGAAUACAGUGAGUCACGUGUGCCUUUUUGUAUUGACUUUAUUAAUCAAGAUCGCCUAACUCCGUGCCAGCAGCCGCGGUAAUACGGAGUGUCCGAGCGUUAUCCGGAUUUAUUGGGUUUAAAGGGACCGUAGAUGGGUUGUUAAGUCAGUUGUGAAAGUUUGCGGCUCAACCGGAAAAUUGCACUUGAUACUGGCAGUCUUGAGUACAGUUGAGGAAGGCGGAAGUAGUGGUGGAGCGGUGAAAUGCUUAGAUAUCACGAAGAACUACGAUUGCGAAGGCAGCUUACUAAAACGUAACUGACAUUGAUGCUCGAAAGCGUGGGUAUCAAACAGGAUUAGAUACCCCAGUAGUC